RNAcentral lists this ribosomal RNA (490 nucleotides) under uncultured bacterium. RNAcentral describes it as "bacterial SSU rRNA". It matches the Rfam family "Bacterial small subunit ribosomal RNA", at positions 28 to 513 of the family's 1533-position model. The record is from RNAcentral.
GAUGAACGCUAGCGGCAGGCCUAACACAUGCAAGUCGAGGGGUAACAGGAAAGCUUGCUUUUGCUGACGACCGGCGCACGGGUGCGUAACGCGUAUGCAACCUACCUCAUACAGGAGAAUAGCCCUUGGAAACGAGGAUUAAUACUCCAUGGUAUCAUUUUUUCGCAUGUUAAAAUGAUUAAAGAAUUUCGGUAUGAGAUGGGCAUGCGUCCCAUUAGCUUGUUGGUGAGGUAACGGCUCACCAAGGCAACGAUGGGUAGGGGGCCUGAGAGGGUGGUCCCCCACACUGGUACUGAGACACGGACCAGACUCCUACGGGAGGCAGCAGUGAGGAAUAUUGGUCAAUGGAGGAAACUCUGAACCAGCCAUGCCGCGUGAAGGAUGACGGCCCUAUGGGUUGUAAACUUCUUUUAUAGAAGGAAGAAACUUGUCUACGUGUAGACUACUGACGGUACUCUACGAAUAAGGAUCGGCUAACUCCGUGCCGGCG